UUAUAUGUAGUAGGUAUAUGAAAAUGCCAUGUUAUCAAAAUGAAUUUUGUUGUUAUCUACAUUUGGAGUGCAUGGUCAUAGAAUAUGCCAAAGGCGAUAUUAGGACACUGCUUCGCAAUAACGUUACAGACCAACAUUGACCUAUGGUAAAGAGAGAGUUCGGUGCUGAACGAAUCACAGUAAACCAGACUACAAGGAUCAUGACUGAUAGCUAAAGUAGAGGUUUGCUUUCAAGUUGGCGCUAUAAUGUAUUUAACUGGAAUUCACAGUAGUGACCGAAGGCUUUAAUUCGAGAAGAAGAACAUAUUCUUUCCGAAAAUACAGCGACAUUUGGUCAGCAGGAACUGCGCGCUUGCGUUUGCGCAGUACAGGGAGUCAGUGUGGAACACAUCUGCAAGUGAGUUGAGACCCGGCUGGCUGGGCCAGCGAAGACAGAAUUUGGAGUUCUGUGUUUUGUCCAAUGAAUAAAGAAUACCAGAAGGAGAAUAUCAACAAUAUACGUGCGACCGGGACAGAGACAUGGAGAGAGGAGAUCGCUGAUCGACGAGUGCGCAUCCAAGAAAGGGUGCGACCUCAU
This is a long non-coding RNA of Photinus pyralis (common eastern firefly), 577 nucleotides long. RefSeq lists it as uncharacterized. The transcript has 3 exons. The record is from RefSeq and is a predicted model, not a curated record. Lineage: Eukaryota; Metazoa; Arthropoda; Insecta; Coleoptera; Lampyridae.